This is a long non-coding RNA of Halichondria panicea, 1909 nucleotides long. RefSeq lists it as uncharacterized. The transcript is spliced from 5 exons. The record is from RefSeq and is a predicted model, not a curated record. Lineage: Eukaryota; Metazoa; Porifera; Demospongiae; Suberitida; Halichondriidae.
UUUACAUAUAGCAAAGAUGACUAGCUCGACUGACACUGAGUUCUCUUCCUCUCUGGCUUAUGCCCUUUCUUGUGUGAAGAGAAGUCAUUUAGUUCUGAGGGAUAAACAGCUUGACACUCUACGGAUGCUGUACGAAGGGAAUGAUGUUUUCCUGUGGGUUCCUACUGGAUAUGAAAGUCUAUCUGCUACCAAACUUUGCCUUUUUUAUUCGACAAGAAGCUGGAUAGAAUUAGUUCUCCUCCUAGUGAGCGUAGUAUUGUCCCCUAGUGUCUCUAAUGGUAGAUCAAGUGACUAGUCUACAUGAUCAUGGUGUUCCUGCUGGUAUACUCAGUGGAAACAAAGGGGUCGAUAAGAAGUCCAAGUGAGUGCUUCACCUACCCCCAGAAUACUCAUAAGGCAGUGCCAGUCCUCUAUACAAGGCUCUAACUGCUCCAAUCGUCCACUGCGAGUGUCCGCAUCUCGCAUAUGUUUUUUGCUACAUCGCUGUCUUUCACAAGUCAUCUGAUCGCCACCUGACAUAACAAACAUCAAGGACUACAACCUCAGAUUUUUUGGCCAUCUCUGUGCUGUGGGGGUGCUUAAUGUGACUGACAACACACCGUUUGUACCGCUGGAGGGGCUUGAUGUACUCGCACAGUAUUCGACCGACUAGAACGACCAAAUUUUCUUGGAUGCCCUCAAUGUCGGCCUUUGUAGGAAGGAAGCAUCGAUAGGACGUUGGUACAGCUUGCUGAUUUUCGUGACCAACUUCAACACGGCACAGUAACUGAUAGUGACACUAAGAUGAUUCAGCCUGGAGUAUACCUUUGAAGAGUACGAGAGACAGAAACGACUGAAUACCACACAUUCUUGUGUUACGCUCUUUCAAGAGAAUUGCUGUGGCCAUACACAUCCCAGGGUAGUGACUCUCUCCGCGUUUAUGCAAGUUCCUAUGAUCUGAACGUCCUACGAUCGUCUGGAUAAGCCUAAAUAGAAUCGGAGACUUUCGCUGUAGUUCAGACACAGCCUGUUUCCACGAUAACGCUUCCACAUUGUCAAUUGGAACCCGGUGAAAUAGAGAGACAAACUCCCCAGAGUUACGACAUAGAGUGGAACAUUCGUCGUCAAGAAUUUUCACCACACCCUCUACCAAUUGGUCCUUCAGUGAAGGGCAAGAAAAUGCUGCCUUGGCAAUAGACUGAAUGUUGCCACUAUUCAGUGCCUGGCGUAAUUUCUGGAGACUUUCAUCUACUUCCGCAGUCACUGUACUGGGUGGUUUAACAUACCGUCAACAGAAGAAAACUGCUCGAGAUUGGUCAACUCUAACAGCGGUGGCUGACGAGGACAGUCUGUGUGCGCUAUGAAAAAGAGAUGAUUCCUGUCAUCUACAUAUAUGAUUUGUUGCAAUCAACCUACGUUCCUCCCUGGUUGAGAAAGCAAGCCUUCUUCCAGGUGCUCCUACUGUCAGACGUUUUGCUAGAGGUCUAGCAUGGACUGUGUGAGGUGAUGCUUCAAGCCCACUGGUGUCUUUAGUUCUCUUCCUACCUGAUACCAUAGGACUACAGAUGGAAGCCUUAUUUCGACCCUGCUCAAAACCACACUUAGCCAUACUUCUAAAGGCUUUAAGUUUAGACUCCAGAGACUGGAAUUUGUUUGUGCAAGCUCUACAAAUGUAUGAAGAUAGCCCAUCACACUCACUAACUGGCAGCUCUAGCAAUUUGCCAAGUCUGUCUGGAAGGCAUCUUUGAACAGACUCUUUUCUUUGCUGAACAGAGCUGAGCAGCGAGUAGAAGUAACAAUGUUGCAGCACAAUCUGCAUAUUCUGGUGGCUGCCAUUGUCUUGAACGUUCUACCACCAACCACGCAGUCUUACGUAUUUUUCCUUUGUGUACUUUGUCCGAUUUUAUCACUUGCGUAAUACUGAUAAAUA